UUGCCUGCUUGUAAUGUUACCCCUGAGAAAAGUCAUCUGAAAAUGAGAAAUGGACCUGGACAGGAAUAAGCAGAGCAUGCUGAUUUAAAAUUAUGGAAAUUCUUCAGGCAGAAAAUGGGCACAUAUGGUUAUCACAGAAAAGCUGUUUUAAAGCCAGUUUUAAGGUAUUAUUAUGCCGCUCCCUUCAAGAAGUAAUUUGCGUGCUGUUUAUUGGAGCUGUGAAUUUAAUCAUCUCAAUCCCACGCUAUUGCAGGAUGACUAUAAGAAGAUGUAUUGACAUUUCUUUGGACACAUAAUUUUGCCUCCAUUGUGUGUUGUUUUGCCAGAAUACUGAAGGCAGUGUUUGUAUGAUGGCACAUCCAAAUAAAAAGCAGGUCCUCCUUUUGUGACAGUGAUCCAUUUAA
RNAcentral lists this long non-coding RNA (404 nucleotides) under Pongo abelii (Sumatran orangutan). RNAcentral describes it as "lincRNA". Lineage: Eukaryota; Metazoa; Chordata; Mammalia; Primates; Hominidae. The record is from RNAcentral.